GCUAUUGCUUAAAGCUUCUAGAGCGAGACAUUACUGUCAGAAUCUAAAGAGACAAUGAAUUCCCUGCUGCACCUACUCUGCAUCCUUAGCCUCUUCAAUCAGGAUUCGUAUAGUCAGAAUGUUAUCACCCAGUUGCCGGCUUUUAUAUCAGUUGCUCCAGGAGGCAGUGCCACCAUCAGCUGUCUGACCACAUGUGAUGUAGGAAGCUACAUGGCCUGGUACCGUAAGAAACCUGGAGAGAAGCCUAAACUCCUGAUAUACUCUUCAAGCUCUCGCUUUUCUGACGCUCCAAGCCACAUUAGUGGUACUGGCUCACAGACAUCCUUCAAUCUGACUAUCAGUGCGGUGAAGUCUGAAGACGAAGGCCAUUACUACUGUCAGCAGUAUAAAGAGGUCCCUCUCACAGUAGUAAAGAAUCGUACAAAAACUGCCUUGAGUCAGUAG
Erpetoichthys calabaricus (reedfish) is the source of this 444-nucleotide non-coding RNA. Lineage: Eukaryota; Metazoa; Chordata; Cladistia; Polypteriformes; Polypteridae. The record is from the annotation of a RefSeq genome assembly.